UACGGGCCAGAAAGCCAAGCUGG
Molecule: non-coding RNA, 23 nt
Filed under: Cricetulus griseus (Chinese hamster)
Lineage: Eukaryota; Metazoa; Chordata; Mammalia; Rodentia; Cricetidae
Source: RNAcentral